RNAcentral lists this ribosomal RNA (425 nucleotides) under uncultured bacterium. RNAcentral describes it as "bacterial SSU rRNA". It matches the Rfam family "Bacterial small subunit ribosomal RNA", at positions 354 to 796 of the family's 1533-position model. The record is from RNAcentral.
GUGGGGAAUCUUGCACAAUGGGGGAAACCCUGAUGCAGCGACGCCGCGUGAGCGAUGAAGCCCUUCGGGGUGUAAAGCUCUUUCGACAGGAACGAUUAUGACGGUACCUGGAGAAGAAGCUGCGGCUAACUACGUGCCAGCAGCCGCGGUAAUACGUAGGCAGCAAGCGUUGUUCGGAGUUACUGGGCGUAAAGAGUAUGUAGGCGGUUCGCUAAGUUUGGUGUGAAAUCUCCCGGCUUAACUGGGAGGGUGCGUCGAAUACUGGCGGGCUUGAGUAUGGGAGAGGAAAGCGGAAUUCCUGGUGUAGCGGUGAAAUGCGUAGAUAUCAGGAGGAACACCUGUGGUGUAGACGGCUUUCUGGACCAUCACUGACGCUGAGAUACGAAAGCGUGGGUAGCAAACAGGAUUAGAAACCCGAGUAGUCC